UACGGGGGGGGCAAGCGUUGUUCGGAAUUACUGGGCGUAAAGGGCUCGUAGGCGGCCAACUAAGUCGGAUGUGAAAUCCCCAGGCUCAACCUGGGAACUGCAUCCGAUACUGGAUGGCUUGAAUUCGGGAGAGGGAUGCAGAAUUCCAGGUGUAGCGGUGAAAUGCGUAGAUAUCUGGAGGAAUACCGGUGGUGUAGACGGCUUACUGGACCACGACUGACACUGAGGCACGAAAGCGUGGGUAGCAAACAGG
RNAcentral lists this ribosomal RNA (253 nucleotides) under uncultured bacterium. RNAcentral describes it as "partial 16S ribosomal RNA". It matches the Rfam family "Bacterial small subunit ribosomal RNA", at positions 524 to 776 of the family's 1533-position model. The record is from RNAcentral.